RNAcentral lists this long non-coding RNA (334 nucleotides) under Brassica rapa (field mustard). RNAcentral's name for it is "long non-coding RNA (BRAP_LNC000147)". The record is from RNAcentral. Lineage: Eukaryota; Viridiplantae; Streptophyta; Magnoliopsida; Brassicales; Brassicaceae.
UAGCAAAGGAAUCUCAUCUGGAGUUGUCGCGGCUAUUACAGUUCCAACUGUUGUUACCGUCUUUACACUGCUUGUUCUAGGAUUUGUUCUUUGUCGGAGGAGAGAGUCUAUGCAAAGAACUGAUGUUGAAUGUUAGUUUCUUGUCUUGUUGUUUCCUUUCAUUAUAACCAUAUUUUGUUCCUUAAGCCAAGAGAAGAAAACAUGAAGCAGAACUAAUAAACCUUUGCUUUGCAGCCGAUAGUGAUAUUUCAACUCCACAUUCAUCGCAAUACGACUUUAAGACAAUUGAAGCUGCAACAAACAAGUUUUCGAGGCAUAAUAAGCUCGGUGAAGG